GAAAUGCGAUAAGUAAUGUGAAUUGCAGAAUUCAGUGAAUCAUCGAAUCUUUGAACGCACAUUGCGCCCCUUGGUAUUCCAUGGGGCAUGCCUGUUCGAGCGUCAUUUGUACCUUCAAGCUCUGCUUGGUGUUGGGUGUUUUGUCUCGCCUCUGCGUGUAGACUCGCCUUAAAACAAUUGGCAGCCGGCGUAUUGAUUUCGGAGCGCAGUACAUCUCGCGCUUUGCACUCAUAACGACGACGUCCAAAAGUACAUUUUUACACUCUUGACCUCGGAUCAGGUAGGGAUACCCGCUGAACUUAAGC
This 305-nucleotide unclassified non-coding RNA is filed under the name plant metagenome. RNAcentral's name for it is "partial contains 5.8S ribosomal RNA, internal transcribed spacer 2, and large subunit ribosomal RNA". The stretch from base 1 to 105 matches the Rfam family "5.8S ribosomal RNA", at positions 50 to 154 of the family's 154-position model. The record is from RNAcentral.